GACGAACGCUGGCGGCGUGCUUAACACAUGCAAGUCGAACGGAAAGGCCCUGCUUUUGUGGGGUGCUCGAGUGGCGAACGGGUGAGUAACACGUGAGUAACCUGCCCUUGACUUUGGGAUAACUUCAGGAAACUGGGGCUAAUACCGGAUAGGAGCUCCUGCUGCAUGGUGGGGGUUGGAAAGUUUCGGCGGUUGGGGAUGGACUCGCGGCUUAUCAGCUUGUUGGUGGGGUAGUGGCUUACCAAGGCUUUGACGGGUAGCCGGCCUGGGAGGGUGACCGGCCACAUUGGGCCUGAGAGACGGACCAGAAUCCUACGGGAGGCAGCAGUCGGGAAUAUUGCACAGUGGGCGGGAGCCUGAUGCAGAAACGCCGCGUGCGGGAUGACGGCCUUCGGGUUGUAAACCGCUUUCGCCUGUGACGAAGCGUGAGUGACGGUAAUGGGUAAAGAAGCACCGGCUAACUACGUG
RNAcentral lists this ribosomal RNA (468 nucleotides) under uncultured bacterium. Its description in RNAcentral is "partial 16S ribosomal RNA". It matches the Rfam family "Bacterial small subunit ribosomal RNA", at positions 28 to 507 of the family's 1533-position model. The record is from RNAcentral.